This 468-nucleotide ribosomal RNA is filed under the name uncultured bacterium. RNAcentral describes it as "partial 16S ribosomal RNA". It matches the Rfam family "Bacterial small subunit ribosomal RNA", at positions 28 to 507 of the family's 1533-position model. The record is from RNAcentral.
GACGAACGCUGGCGGCGUGCUUAACACAUGCAAGUCGAACGGAAAGGCCCUGCUUUUGUGGGGUGCUCGAGUGGCGAACGGGUGAGUAACACGUGAGUAACCUGCCCUUGACUUUGGGAUAACUUCAGGAAACUGGGGCUAAUACCGGAUAGGAGCUCCUGCUGCAUGGUGGGGGUUGGAAAGUUUCGGCGGUUGGGGCUGGACUCGCGGCUUAUCAGCUUGUUGGUGGGGUAGUGGCUUACCAAGGCUUUGACGGGUAGCCGGCCUGAGAGGGUUACCGGCCACCUUGGGACUGAGAUACGGCCCAGACUCCUACGGGAGGCAGCAGUGGGGAAUAUUGCACAAUGGGCGGAAGCCUGAUGCAGCAACGCCGCGUGCGGGAUGACGGCCUUCGGGUUGUAAACCGCUUUCGCCUGUGACGAAGCGUGAGUGACGGUAAUGGGUAAAGAAGCACCGGCUAACUACGUG